This 29-nucleotide non-coding RNA is filed under the name Rattus norvegicus (Norway rat). The record is from RNAcentral. Lineage: Eukaryota; Metazoa; Chordata; Mammalia; Rodentia; Muridae.
UUUAAGGCCUGUGGAAGGGAUGCUCUGUC